AAAGGAACAAAAGGAACAACCCACCACGUUCUUUCCUGUGUCUUCUUUGUUUUGUUUAAUUGAAGCAAAAGAGCACGCAUUCAUUUCAUUUCUUUGUCUCUUUUUGCUUCAAAUUAAAACAAACAAAGGACACAGAGAAUGAGCCGUGUGGAAGAAGAGAAAGGAACCGAACACAAUGAAAU
Molecule: non-coding RNA, 182 nt
Filed under: Symbiodinium sp. CCMP2430
Lineage: Eukaryota; Dinophyceae; Suessiales; Symbiodiniaceae
Source: RNAcentral